AGCAUAUCAAUAAGCGGAGGAGAAGAAACUAACAAGGAUUCCCCCAGUAACGGCGAGUGAACAGGGAUUAGCCCAGCGCUGAAUCCCCUGGCCUCCUGCUGCCAGUGGGAAAUGUGGCGUUACGGACGUCUUACUGUGGCGUGGGUUGGGCGACUAAGUCCCCCUGAUAGGGGCUUUACCCAGAGCGGGUGUUAGGCCCUUAUCGUUGCGUAUUAACCCAUGUCACUGUGGGCGUCUAUGGAGUCGGGUUGCUUGAGAAUGCAGCCCAAAGUGGGUGGUAAACUCCAUCUAAGGCUAAAUACCUGCACGUUUCCGAUAGUCAACAAGUACCGUGAGGGAAAGUUGAAAAGAACUUU
RNAcentral lists this ribosomal RNA (356 nucleotides) under Loxomitra tetraorganon. Its description in RNAcentral is "eukaryotic LSU rRNA". It matches the Rfam family "Eukaryotic large subunit ribosomal RNA", at positions 37 to 377 of the family's 3401-position model. The record is from RNAcentral. Lineage: Eukaryota; Metazoa; Entoprocta; Loxosomatidae.